UCUUAAAAAUGUGCCUCAAUAAUAUUCUAUUUAAAACAUAACAUGAAGUGUUAAUCGCUUCGGCCCAAAAAUAUUUUGGAAAAUUGUUUUCAUUUAGCAUGGUUCUAGCCAUUUCUUGAAGAUUUCUAUUUUUCCUUUCAACUACCCCAUUUUGUUGAAGAGUUCUAGGAGCCGAAAAAUUGUGGUUAAUACCAUGCUCGUUGCAAUAUUCUUCAAAAUCAAUAUUUUCAAAUUCUCUCCCAUGAUCACUUCUUAUAAAAGUAAUUGUAAAACCUUUUUCAUUUUGAAUCUUAUUGCAAAAUUUUGAAAACUCAUAAAAGACUUCAUUCUUUUAACUUAAAAACAAGACCCAUGUGUAUCUAGAGAAGUCAUCCACAAUAUCAUAUGCAUAAGAUUUUCCUCCAACACUUGGUGUCCUAGAGGGACCAAAUAAAUCCAUAUGCAAAAACUCAAGAGGCCUAGAGGUUGAAAUAAAAAUUUUAUUUUUGAAAGAGUUUUUUAUUUGCUUUCCCAUUUGACAAGCUUCACAAACUGUCUUUUUGAAAAUUUAUUUUGGGAAAGCCUCUAACAAGUUCAUCUUUGUUGAGUUGGGAAAUGAGGUCCAUGUUAGCAUGUCCCAACCUCCUAUGCCACAACCAACUUUGAUCAUGCAUGCUUGAAAAGCAUCUAUCAUGACCAUCAUAUUUUGAGAUAUUUAUAGUGUAAACAUUAUCACACCUAUGGCCCAUGAAGAUGGUUUUAUCAUUUUGAAUAUCCUUGAUAAUGCAAUGAGAUGCUUCAAAAAUCAUUUUAAAACCUUUGUCACAAAGUUGACUAAUGCUUAAAAGGUUACGUUUUAAACCAUCCACUAAUAAAACACUUUUAAUAAGAGAGGAUGUGCCAUUACCAAUGUUGCCUUGACCAAUGAUUCUUUCUUUUGCAUUGUCUCCAAAGGUAACAUAUCCUCUCUUUCUCUUUGUAAGGAAAACAAACUUGGAUUCAUCUCCGGUCAUGUGUCUUGAGCAUCCACUAUCCAAGAACCACUUAUCCUUCUUUGAACCCUACAAAAUAAAAUUCAAGUUGAUUUAGGUACCCAUGUCUUUUUGGGUCCUUGAGGGUUAGUGACCUUGGAUUUUUCAAUCCAAACCUUUUUAGCUUUUGCAUUUGAAUUAUUUUGAGAAUCAUUUUUUAAGGGGCAUGUACUACUAAUGCGCCCUCCUCUUCCACAAAAGUUGCAAGUGGUAGAAGGACUUGCACUUGAGGAUUCUUUUACAAAGUAGUUUUUAAAAUACUUUUGAUUUUUUGAAGAUUUGAAUCUUAGCCCUUGUUUGUCAAAAACACAUUUUUGGCUAGCUAAAAUCAUUUCAAAAGAUUUUUGUCCACAAGAGAAGAUUGAAAGAGAGGAUUUCAACCAUUCAUUUUUACUUUUCAAAAUCUCAUUUUCAUUUCUCAAAAUCUCAUUUUCUUUUUCAAGAUGAGUUUUAUAAAUUUCAACAAUUGAAAAUUUUUCUUUCACUUCUUCAAGUUCUUGAAUUUUCUUUUUAAGAGAAUUAUUUUUCAAACUAAGUUUUUCAAAAUCCUCAUAUAAUUCUUCAAAAACAUCUUGCAUAUCUUCAUAACUAAAGUUAGAGUUUACCUCAUCAAGUUUAUUUAUUGCCAUGAAGCACAUGUUUACCACUUCUUUCUCUUUUUCUUCUUUGGAGGAUUCUUCACUUUCACUCCAAGUGGCCAUCAUUGUCUUCUUCAUUCUUCUCUUGGCUUCACUUUUGUAGAGACGACAAUCAUAUUUAAUGUGUCCCGAUUUUUUGCAUUUGAAACACACCAAAUCUCUUUUCUCUUCCUAUUUCUCCUUGUCACCAUGAGAUGAAGAUUCCUUUUUAGAAAGGUCUCUUUUAGAGGUGAACUUUCUUCCUCUAAACCUUUCGUCCCUCAUGUAUUUGUUGAGCUUUCUUGUGAUGAGGGCUAAAUCAUCAUCUUCUUCACUUGGUUUUUCUUCUUUAACAUUUUUUUCUUCCUUAGUUGUAGCUUUGAAAGUUAUGUUCUUCUUCUUUUUGUCUUCUCCCUCUUGUAGCUUCUUUGCCAAAUUGAUCUCAUCUGUCAUUAAUGACCCUAUGAGCUCCUCCAUAGGUAACUUGGUCAAGUCUUUUGCUUCUUGAAUUGUAGUGACCUUUGUAUGCCACUUUGAUGGGAGUGACCUCAAUAUCUUCAUCCCCUUUUCGGAUUCCUUGCAGGUUUUUCCCAAUGCUUCAAGACCAUGGACAAUGUCGGUGAACCUAGUGAUCAUCUCAACAACAGUCUCAUUUUCUUUCAUAAAAAACAAUUCAUAGUUAUGAACAAGUAUAUUUAUUUUUUACUAUUUCACUUGAUUUGUUCAUUUAUGAGUUAUUUCAAGAAAUCUCCAAAUUUCUUUAGUCGAUUUACAUUGACAUAUUCUAUUAUAUUCAUUUCUAUUCAUAGCAUAUUGCAAAAUAAAAACGGUCUUAGCAUUUUAUUGAAAAUUUCUUCUAUCAAGCUCAUUCCAUUCUUGCUUAGGUUUUGGGACCAAGACUCCAUCAACUAGUUUUGUAGGAAAAGUUGGGCCAUUUUCAAUGACGUCUCAUAUGUCUAAAUCGGUUGAUUGUAAAUACCAAGUUGUAGACCUUCCAUUUUUUCCCUUUAGCACAUGUCUUUAAGUUCACUUCCUAUGUUCCACAGCGUUUCUUUGAUGGCCCAUUACUACUCGUGUAACUUACUUUUUCUAAGCCACUUUGGAGACUUUGGUUAAGGGUUUAUCCGGUUCCACAUUACGACCUUGGUUGCCCUUCAAGUUUAGACUAGGCUUCACUUAGAUACACUUGGCCCAUUAGGCACCACCUUAGGCACACUUAGAUUCACCCUAACCUGCUUAGAUCCACCUAGACACCUUCUAAAUUGCACACAUUCACCUUAGGUCACUUAGGUCACUUAGGCACCUUUUCAAAAUAGGUCACUUGGACACUUCUUUUGGCAUCCACUUAGGCGUGUUCUUGAUUUUGGUUACUUCCUUUUCCGAGAUAGGAUGAGUAUUGGGUUGACUACAUAUUGCAUGAAAUGAAUUUUUUUUUAAUGAAAAAGGUAAGAAUAACUAUGGUUGUGGAUGUGGUCAUGACAAUAGAGAAAUGGGUAAUUUUAAUUCAUCAAAUAAUUAAGGCAAAAUAAAGGGGGAAAAUAUGAUAAAACCCAAAUUCAAUAUUAUAAUUAUAACAAAUAUGGUCAUUAUGCUUAUGAAUGUAGAAGUUCCACUAAUAAUAUGAAAUGACAAACCACCUAUGUUGAAAAGAAAGAUCAAGAAAAACCUAUUUUGUUGUUGGCGUAUAAAGGAGAAAACAAAGAGAAAAACACAUAGUACCUUGACAUUGGAGCAAACAAUCACAUGUGUGGUUUCAAAAAUAUGUUUGUGAAGCUUGAUGAAUCGGAAAGUGGCCAUAUUUUUUUGAGAUGCAUCCAAACUUCCAAUAAAAGACAAAGACAAAAUCCUAAUUCGUUUAAAAAAUAAAAGACAUCAAUUUAUCUAGAAUGUUUACUAUGUGCACAACAUGAAAAAUCAUGUAUUAAAUUUGGGUUACCUUUUAGAAAAAAGCUAUAAUAUUCAUAUAAAAAACAAAGCCUUUCAAUAAUAGAUCAACAUGCCAAUUUAAUUGCUAAUGUGCUUAUGACAAGAAAUAAAUUUUUUUGUUAAACAUUCAAAAUGAUGAUGUAAAAUGUUUAAAAUCUUGUGUUAAUGAUUUCUCAUAGAUUUGACGCUUAAGAUUUAGACAUUUUAAUUUUGGUGGAUUGAAAUUGUUGAGUAAGAAAAAUAUGAUGAGAAAAUUGUUAGGAUAGAGUUCUUAAAAGCAUAACAUGAUAUAAUAAAUUUGAAAUCCAUUAUUUAUUUGAUGACAUUUCAAUUUUACUUCUAUCUAUCCUUAUUCUAUACAUUAUACUUCAUGAGAAUUCUUACCUAAUAUCUCUUGUAUUGUACAUGAUUUGGGUGUAUUAGGAGUUGCAUUGAAGAUCCAAGUCAUGAGUUUCUUACAAGUAUAUGAUUUGUCCAUAACCAAUUCGUGGACAUAAGCAAUCCUAUAGUGCACUACUUCCUAAUUGGAGGAUGACUAGUUUUGGCUAUUAAAAUGAGGUUCCCAUGGUGAGUAUACUAAUGUGUAUGAUUACAUAUUGAAUAGGACCUACAAUGAGUUAUAACAUAAGACUAUCAAGUAGUUAUGACAUAAGUAUGUAUAAUAUAUCACAUGUUAAGACAAAAGAUUAAUUUGUUGAAGUUUUAUGUUUUAGUCAUAUAGUUAGCUUGGCUAAGUGCAUAGUUUAUAUUCGUAAAGCUUGUUAAAGUCGGUUACAAGUUUGUUAGAGAUCUUCCUUUAUAUUUGUACUAGAUAGUAUAGAUAUAGAUUUUAGUUGAAUAGACAAAAAUUCCAAAACUCUCUCCUAAAAUUUCUCUAAACCUAAGCAUUCCUUUACUUUAUUGCCCUAGAAAAUUGUUUAGAUUCAGAAUUUUAUCAUGGUAUCAAAGUGCAUUUUUUUUCCAAUAAAGGAUAAUCGAGCAUUAGGGACAAUGGUACAAGUUCUAGUGGUGACAAAUCCAUCAUCUUCUUUAUCAAGGUUCAUACCUAUUAGUUUUACUUAUUCUUUGUUGGUAAAACUUGAUAAUAAUAGUGUUUGAAUUUGGAAACAACAGGUUGUCUCGACAAUCAAAGGAUAUGGUUUGCAAAGAUUCAUUUUUGGUAGUGGUGAGAUUCUAGAAAGGCUUUUGUUGCAAGAAGAUGCAAGGUCUAGGAUGUUUAAUCAAGAAUUUCUUGAUUGGGAAUAAUAAGAUCAAUUGUUAUGUUAUGGCUUUUAUCAUCAAUUUCAAAACCAAUUCUCCCUUGAAUGGUAGGUUGUGAAACUUCUUUCCAGGUUUAAGGCAAGCUUGGGCAAUAUUUUUCUACCUAAACUAGGGCUAAGGUUAGUUAAUUCAAAACUUAACUUUAGAAUACAAUGAAUGGAUUAGAUCUUAAUUUGCUUGUUAAUGAGUAUUUGUCCAAGAUUAAAAGUUGUGUUAAUUCCUUAGCAUCAGUAGGGCAUUUUCUUUCUACUAAAGAUCAGGUUGAUGCUAUUUAUGAUGGGUUAACCACAUAGUAUGAUCCCUUUUAUAGUGUUAAUAAACUUUAGAAUGGAUAGUUACACUAUAGAAGAGAUCGAGUCUUCAUUAAUGGCUCAAGAAGCAAGGUUUGAAAAGAACAACAAGGCCUUGGACUUUGUACUAAGUGCAAAUAUAGCUACUAAAUUUUAGGGACAAGGUAAUUUGAAGAAGUGGCAAAGUAAUAACUUUGGAGGUCAAGGACAAAGACAAAAUUCUUGUCAAGGGUUCAAUGGGAGUCAAGGUUGAAAUUUUAGUCAAAGUUCUAAUUAGAAUUAUGGUGGUAAUUAAUUUUAGUAGAGGAGAGUUUAAUGGAGACUUUAAUAAAGUCGAGGCUUUAACAAUGGUUUUAAUGGACAAGGCAAAGAUAGAAGAUGUUGGAAUUCAAAUGGUAAACCAUAAUGCUAGUUGUAUGGGAAGUUUGGGAAUGUGAUUUUAAAUUGCUACUAUUGUUUUGAAGGGCCUUUCGGUUUCAAUUUUCAGAAUGCCAAUGCAUUUUGAAACCAAGCCUCUCUAAUGUGUUCAAUGAUUGCCAUCCUAGAACUUUACAAUGAUGUAAGUUACUACCCUAAUUCUAGUGCAUCCAAUCAUAUAACUUGUGAUGUUAACAAUUUGAAGCAUAUAUAAGAGUUCACUAGCUAGGAUAGAGUUCACAUUAGUAAUGACAUAAGUUUGUCCAUUAAACAUGUUGGCCAAUCUUCAUUUUUGUCUCUUUAUUGUAGGAAACCCUCAAUUUCUCUAUUCAUAAAUGUUGGAUCACUUUUAAAAACCAUUUAGAUUAAUAAAACUAAAGAAGAACGAUUCAUAAUUUGAUCUUGUACACUUGAAGUCUUCCGCCUAAUGACUCAAGCCACAACUUUAGCACUCUAAAUAGUGGAUUUUGGAAGGGAAGAUGUCUUGCCUUUUUUUUCUUUAUCUAAAAGUGAAAGAUGACUCUGGAAAAUCAUUAGGAAACCUUUACCUCCUAAGGGGGUAUUUAUAGGAUUUCUAUAGCUACUAGGCUUAAGUAACUUAAGCCCACAAGGGUUUGGGUUACUUAUUUAAGUCUAAACUGGGUCAUAAUUGAUUAAUUAAGCACAAAGGGUCAUCUAAUUAAUCAAUUUGCUUGAUCUAGAAACUUUGCUCACUAUUUCUUGUGUAACUAUGUGCAAUUAUGAAAACACCCUUCUAUACCAAAGUAAACUAAAAGUCAAUCCAACCCUCAUAAAGCAUGCCAUCUUGGUAUAUGAGUUUAGAGUGGUAGGACCCAUACGGGUAUUGGUUAUCUUAGAAUCCAAUUUUAAAGUUGAUUCAAUAUUCCACAAAAAAAAUAAAAAAAUCAACUAUGCUCUAAUACUUUAUGCAAAUAACAACGAGACAAACCUUGAGUUUAUGACCUACUAUCUACUAUAUGUGGACUCUCUAUAAACUAGUGUCUGUAGUCUAAUAAGGUAAUCUUAUCACUUAUCAAGAUUACCUCUUCAAUUCUUGAGUUACAGAUCCCACUUAUUGUGUGAUUAAUUGACAUACUCUAGUUCCAAUUACCAUAUGCCAAUUUCUAUUAAAAGAAAUUCUAUGACCAUAGUCUUCUAAAUCACUCAAGGAAACACAUUAUCUCAAUUCAUGAGAUAUCAUGGCGUCUUUAUUGAGAAUACCUAUUGUCAUCAGCCUCCAUCAAUAGUGACCUGAUCUAUAAGGAUAUAUGACCACUUUAAGGUCUCAUUUCUAUGUCAAAGCCUCUUGUUGACUUUGACACAUGCUCAAUAUUCUCUCAAGUUUGAGAGUCCAUGUACUAUAGUAACUUGAUGAAUCAUGAUAGUUGAUAACCUUACAUCAUGAUUCAUUGUAAGUCUUGUCUAAUGUGUAUCACAUACACUAGUGCAUUUACUAUGGGAAAACCAUUCUGACCAUUAAGACAAGUUGUCUCACCAAUUAGGAGGUAGUACACUACAUUCUCAGAUAAAUUGCCUAAAUCCAUGAACCGACUGUGGAGUACUCAUCACUCUACAAGGAACCCAUAACUUAGAUCUUCCGUAUAACUCCUAAUGCACCCAAGUUACGUAUAAUGCAAGUGAUGUGACACACAUAUUAAAUAACCAAUUAAUGCAUAUAGGAUAAUAAAUGGGAAACCAAGAAAUAUAAAUAAAUAAAAUUUAUAAAUGUAUUUUAAUAUGUUACAUCAUGUCAUGCUUUCUUAGGCUCAAUCCCAACACGUAUAAUUCUAAAAUUCUCACUCUAAAGCAUCUUUUACAUGUUCCAAAUAAAAUUCUAUUAAGUGUGCCUAAAUUUACAAGAGAUAAUAGUGUUUUCUUUGAAUUUCAUCCUAACACAUGUUCUAUUAAAGAUUAGGCUUCCAAGGCAAUUUUAAUGGCAAAGAAGGUUAAAGAUGGUUUCUAUACCUUUGACUCUCCACACAUGAUAUUCAAUCUAACACUAUUGCUAUCUCAUUCUACUUUUUUAAUUUCUAGUGGCUCAACUCAAGUGCUAUCAACCUCUUGUAGUAUAGACAAUUCAUCACAUACUAGUUGUUCAACUAGUUCCAAAAGUUAUUUGUUUGAUUUGUGGCAUAAUAGGUUACAUUAUCCAUUUGAGAAAGUUGUCAAAUGUGUACUCUCUCAUUGUAAUAUGCCUAAUUUUAAUAAAAUGAAACUUUUUUUUUCUAUUAAUCUUAUUACCUAGGUAGGAUUAAUAAAUUUAAAUUUAGUUUGUCUGAUAUAAUCUAUAUUGCUCCUCUUCAUAUCAUACAUUUUGAUUUAUGGAUUUUAAUACCUAUUUAGUCUAGUAGUGGAUAUAAAUAUUACAUCCACUUUUUUUUUCUUACUCUAGAUUCCCUUAGAUUUACUUGCUUAGAAAUAAAUUAGAUGAUAUUCAAACUUUUAACAAUUUCAAAACUCAAGUAGAACUACAAUUCAAUACCAAACUUAAAGCCAUAUAGACAGACUAAGAAGAAGAGUUUCGAGUUUUUCAAGAUUAGUUGUCUACUAAAGAGAUAUUACAUAGAGUUUCUUACCCUUAUACAUAAGAACAAAAUGGGGCUACUAAGCAAAAACAUAGGCAUAUAGUGGUAAAUAGGCUUACUCUUAUAGCAAAUGUUUUUUUUCCCUUGAAAUAUUGGUAUAAGGCUUUUAAAGCGAUUGUGUACCUCAUAAAUAGACUUCCAACUCCUAUGCUUGGUAUGAAAUCUCCUUUAGAGACCUUAAAACAAGACUAAACCUGCCUAUAACACUUUUAAAGUCUUUGAAUGUGCUUGUUACCCAAACCUUAGACCCUAUAAUAAACAUAAUAUGCAAUUUAGGAGUGUUUAAUGCAUUUUACAGUCUAUAGUUUAAAUCACAAGGGUUAUAACUAUUUAUACCCUAAUGGUAGGCUAUUUAUUUAAAGAGAUGUCAUACUUGAUGAAUUUUCUUUUCCUUUUUCAAAAAUUGAAACAACCACCAAUUGUUUCUUCAGUCCCUUAGAUAAAUUUAGGGUAUUUAGUCAUGCUACUUGUGUUACCUGAUAUUUCUCAGUUUUUUUAAGUUUUACACCAUCUAAUUCUCUUGCUAAAUUUUUCAAACAUCUAUUUAUACUCUAGUUGUUAGGAUAAAACUCUUAAAAGUAUGACAUAAUGUAAUAAGAUAAGUUCCAUUAAUAUGUUUAUAUAUAAAAUGAUUUCUAAUUCCAUUUUUCUAUCUAUCAUUGCAUUCUUAUCCGAGCAUUCACGCUUAUAUUACUUGCAUUGUACAUGACUUGAGUGCAUUAGAAAUUGUAUAGAAAACCUAAGUCUUAAGUUUCUUGCAAAAUGAUAAGUUGUUCAUGGUCAGUUCAUGGAAUUGAACAAUUCAUUUGAGAUUAUAAUGCAUUACCUCCUAAUUAAAGGAAUAACUUAUCUUAAUUAUUAGGAUGAGUUUCCCAUGGUGAAUGUACUAAUAUGCAUAAUUAUACAUUGAAUAAGACCUAUGAUGUGAUAUUAGUUUUUGAGUAAUCAUAACUUCACCAAACUACUAUGUUGCAUGAGUUUUUAACUUUGAGAGAAUAUUGAAUUAGUGUUGAAGUUUUCAAUGGUUUUGACCUGUGGGUGAGACCUUAAGGUGGUCAUAUUAUUUAUCAAUUGGAUCAUUAUUAAUUAAAGUAGGUGACAAGUAUUCUUAAGAUAAGCAUCAUAAAAUUUCAUAAGAUUGAGACGAUUUAACCCCUAAGGUUAUCCUAAGUACUUGUGAUCAUAUAAUUUAUGGAUACAAUAAUUUCUUAACUAAAGUUUGAAAUAUAUUAUUUGUAAACUAGAGUAUGUCAGUUAAUCACAAAAUAGAAGGAUAUGAUACUUAAGAAUAGUAAAGGUAAUCUUAAGAGGUUGAUAACAUUUAUCUCAAUAGAUUACAAACACCAGUUCAUGAGGAGUUUGCAUGCAUGUUGUGGAUAGUAGGUCAUAGGCAUGAGAAAUUGAUUUAAUUUAAUUUAAUUAAUUUCAUCUUGAUGUAGUUUCAUAGGGUAUUGGAGUAGAGUUGAUUCAAUUUAGUGAAGUGUUAAGUCAACUUUAAAAUUAAAUUAUAAAGUAGUUAGUAUUUUUCUUUGGGUCCUAGUAGUCUCCACUUGAGUUCAUACUCUUUGUUAGCAUAAAAUAUUAAGGUUUAUGGAGAAUUAAAUAUUUAUAUGCAUAAAGACGUUUUGGCAAAAAUGCAAGGUUGCAAAGGAUUUUAUGAUUAUACCUAUGUUUUGUCUUUUUUAAUUAGGUUAAUUAAUUAAUUGGAGUUCAAUAGUACUAAUUAAUUAAUUAAUUAGAACCUAAUGAAUUAAAUUAAGUGAACCAAGCCCAAGUUGGACAAAGUCAUUUAAACCUACAAAAAAUUUUAUAUAAACUUCCUUCGGAGUUUAAGGUUAGACAUACUCUUAGUCAUUGUCUCCCAAAGAGCCUCCAUUUCUCUCACCCUUGAAAAAUGUGUCGCCACUCUACACAAUCAAAAUUCAAGGAAGACAUGAUUAGGUGGAAGAUCAUAAGGUGAUUAAGAUCUUCUUUAUUAUCUAGAUUUUGAUUUAGGAACAUCUAAAUCAAAGGUAAAAUGCUUUUAAACCCCUAUAUCUAAGUUUUUUAAUUAUGAAUACUCCCUCUGUAUUUAGAUUUAGAUCUUUAGGACAUUUAGAUGCAUGUGUUCUUAUGAUUUAGGGCUUAAAAUGGUCUUUCCAAAUAUUCCAACAAGAGGAAUAUGAAAACAAUAGACCAUAACGACAUCAUCAUAGGUCAUGAAACCUUAAGAAAAGGAUGAAGACAAAGAAUGGAAGGACUAUAAAAAGAGUGAGAACACAAAGAGUAGAAAAAAGAGAGAUGAACAUAUAAAUGAGAAUAACAACCAAAAUGAGGAAGAAUCUUUAUAUGUAGAGGAAAAAUAACCUAAAAUUGAAGAACAAAAGUACAUUUGCUGCCAUGUUACCUUAAGAUUUUCCUGUAUAGAAAUUUCCCCAUGUAUGAAAAUAAAGGGGAGAAGAAGAGUAGGAACUAUAAGGAUUAUGAAUGUGGGACACUACAAAUGUAUGACACAUGUCAUUCAAAGAGCAUGUGUCAACACAAAUAUGGACAUACAAUUUAGGAAGAGCAAGCAAGGGAUAAAUGCUAAAUCAAUCCCUCAUAUAUGGGUUGACCUCACAAGCCAUGGUAAACACAUUUAAUGUGAUAAGAUAUAUAUUUAAUUUGAUUAAACACCACCCUCAUAUUUAUGGCAUGUGUAAGACCUUAUCCCCAAAUCAAGGAACCUAUUGUUGGGAACCUUGGAUUACUUCGUUCCCAUGCCCUAAAUCUCAUAGGGUGCAUGCAUCUAUAUCCUUAGGCAUCUUUAAAUCUAUUGUAACGGAAUAAAAUGAUAAUAAAAACCAUUUUAGAAUAAAGAUUUAGAGAUUUGAACCCCACACCUGGAUCUAGAUGUUCCUAGAUUAAUUCUUUGUGGUGAAGAACAUGUUUGAAUAGUCUAGAGGUCUCGUAUACCCAAGAUUUUCUGCCCGAUGACUCGAACUAUGAUCUUGACACUUCAAAGUGUGGCCUUUAGAAGAGUGGAAACUUUGACUCUUUCUCUCUCUCUCUCUCUCUCUCUCUCUCUUUCUCAUUCGAUGUGGAAUAUGACUAACUAAAGUCAUUAGGAAACCCAAACCCAUAAGGGGGUAUUUAUAGGAUUGCCCAUUGGGCUUAAGUGACUUGAACCCAUCAAAACUUAGGUAACUUAAUCCAGCCUAAAACAGGUCCUAAUUGAUUAAUUAAUCACAUAAGGCCAUCUAAUUAAUCAAUUAGUCUAAUAUAAAAACCUUGUUCAUUAUCCCCUUUGCAACCUUGCGUAAUUAUCAAAACGCUUUUAUGCACAAGAAUGAACUUAGAGUUAAUUUAACCCUCAUAAACCAUGUCAUCAUGGUAUAUGAGCUUAGAGUGGGGACCACUAAGACUCAUAGGAGUACAUGCUCCCUUAGAAUCCAAUUUUGAAGUUGAUUCAAAAUUUCACUAAAGAAAAUCAACUGCACUCCAAUAUCCUAUGUAAAUAACAACGAUACGAAGCUCAGGAUUCGUGACCUACUAUCCACUGCAUGUAGACUUCCUAUGAAUUAGUGUUUGUAAUCUAACAAGGUAGUGCUAUCACCUAUCAAAAUUAUCUCUCCAAUCCUUGAAUUAUAUAUCCCACUUAUUAUGUGAUCAACUGAUAUACUCUAAUUCUAAGGAACAUAUGUCAAAUUCCAUUAAAGGAAUUAUUGUAGCAUUAGAGAUUUCAUAAUCAUAUGUCCUUUGGACUACUUAAUGGGACACGUUGUUUCAAUCCCAUGAGAUAUCAUAGUGUCUUUAUUACUAAUACAUGUUGCCACCAAUCUUCAUCAAUUGUGAUCCAAUCCAUAGGGAUAUAUGACCACUUUAAGAUCUCAUCCAUAGGCUGAAGUCUCUUAUUGAUUUUGGUACAAACUCAAUAUCUUCUCAAUGUUGAGAGUCCAUGCAAUAUAGUAGGUUGGUGAAUCAUGACAAUUGAUAGCCUUGCAUCAUGAUUCACCAUAGGUUCUAUUCAGUGUGCAUCACAUACACGAGUACACUCACCAUGGGAAACUCAUCCUAAUGGCUAAGAUAAGUCAUCCCUUAAAUUAGGAGGUGGUGUACCAUCAAUGGGGCAUCAAACCAAUUGGUGGCGCUGCUCUAACAGGUCCUUAACUACUAGCAAGGAAAGACACAUGUGCAAUCUUGUGAUCACCUCUACUUGUGAAAACCAAGAAGGGGAUGCAAAACUUGGCUUCUCUUCUCUCCCAAACUUUUAACACAUUAUUUACCUUGGCUUAUACAACAUUCAACAAAAAUAUUAUCCAAUUAUUGUAAUGGUAACAAAGGAGUUGAUAUAUCCUAUGGGUAUCCUCAUGUACUACCUACUGCUUCACCAUUAAUUUUGUUGGCAUCAGCAUAUUCCCUCUUUGGACAGUGAAAGGAAAGGCCUCAACUCUCCAAAUCAACAUCAUAUAGAGUAAUGUUUGGAAACUGAAAUCAUAUUAAGCUUAAUUAAGAACUCAAAUUUUAUUACAUCACGCGGAAAACAGAAACAGAAGGAAAAAAGAAAACACACUGCAAAGUUAUUUCAGUAGCAUGCGUGCAUGCCCAGUAAAAAGAAACGCGACAUGAGUACUUCAGAUGAGUGCGUUGAUAGUGCUCUCAUCGUGGCAGCAAAGGAAAGCCAUGUAUUUCUCCAUGUUGCGGAGGCACUCCGGGCACUUCAUCGUAUCUGGAAUCCUUCCAACAGUGCUGGAGAACUCGAAGCGGCAGCAGGGGCGAGCAUCUGGACGAAGAUUAUUAUGGUAGUCAGAGCAAGCCAUAUCGAAACCCUUUGAAGGCACAUACUCCUUCCAUGCGUCGUACUCGUUGAAGGUAGGCAAGACACUGGAGCUGUGGCCAUUGACGAAUACAAAAGAUCCCUUGCUGAGUACAGCCCAUCCUCCUUCCUUGUCGUAGCUGAGCAGUUUCUUGAUUUCCCGCAGCAUAGGGUCGACAUCGACAGUACUCCCCAGCUGGAUCUUGGAGAACAUCAUGCUUUCCAGUCGGGUCCAGAAGAACCAGACCAUGGCAAGAUCUUGCCAGCAGUAGCUGAGUUUUUCCGCAGUAAUGGCGGUUGUGCAUUUCCGGACUUGCUCUCUUUUGGUGCUCUUUCCCACGUACACCAUCUCUAAGGGGAUCCGUGCAGUCGAUGCAAUUGCCCGUGCGGUGGUUGUGAAUUUUCGGAUCCAUUCCAUGUCAGUUCCUCCAUACAAGUAAAUGUAUUUUCCUUCUUUGAUCUGAUAAAAUAAAAAUAAAAAAAAUCUCCAGAUAAGUGAAGUCAUUCAUACACAUGUAAAGCUAGCUGUGUAUUUAGAUGGGUAAAGGUGAAUUACCCAGCUCAGUAUGGUUGGGUCAAUACCAUCCACCAGCAGCUCAAGCUUCCAACUCUCUUCCCUCCACAGAGCUUCCUCUCUCAAACUGGUGAACGGGAAGGCGGUACUCCCCCAUAUCCACAUCAUGUGGAUUGCAUUAGGGCUCACCACUUUCCCUUGUGGAUCUAGCACUACAAGGAUGGGCUUAUUCCGGAAGUGCCACACCUCCCUGAUGAACCUGAUGACUGGCUUUUCAAUUAGUGAAGGUGAGUACACCGAGUACCAUGGCAUCGUGGUCUGCAGAGUCUCAAACUGGCUUUGCAGGGGAUCUGUCCACUCAGCAAAACGGUCCACAAUUGGGAUCCACACAAUCUCAUACUCCAUCCUAGUUGCAUGGACCCGGGACUCAUUAUAA
This 13829-nucleotide long non-coding RNA is filed under the name Vitis vinifera (wine grape). Its description in RNAcentral is "long non-coding RNA (VVIN_LNC004835)". The record is from RNAcentral. Lineage: Eukaryota; Viridiplantae; Streptophyta; Magnoliopsida; Vitales; Vitaceae.